This is a long non-coding RNA of Molossus molossus (Pallas's mastiff bat), 266 nucleotides long. RefSeq lists it as uncharacterized. NCBI's taxonomy places the organism in Eukaryota, Metazoa, Chordata, Mammalia, Chiroptera, Molossidae. The record is from RefSeq and is a predicted model, not a curated record. The transcript is spliced from 3 exons.
AGGAAAAAAUUGUGUUGGACCGUGGGAAUAAUUCAAAGAUAAUAAGACCUCCCCACCCCCCUUGGCCGCCUCUGUGCUGCUCUUCCAGCACUAAUCACUGAGAACUUGUUAUAUACCGGACGCUGGAUUUACCAUUCUUUAACCCAAGUGCUCCGAGAAAGGUGGAAGCAGAUAGCUCUACAACACAACGGGAUCAUUUUUUCAAAAAAAUUCAAUCUUAUUUGGAGGAUAGCCUAAAUGAUGCAGACCCAUUGUUAAUCACUGCC